RNAcentral lists this ribosomal RNA (465 nucleotides) under uncultured bacterium. RNAcentral describes it as "partial 16S ribosomal RNA". It matches the Rfam family "Bacterial small subunit ribosomal RNA", at positions 28 to 507 of the family's 1533-position model. The record is from RNAcentral.
GACGAACGCUGGCGGCGUGCUUAACACAUGCAAGUCGAACGGAAAGGCCCCUUUUGGGGUACUCGAGUGGCGAACGGGUGAGUAACACGUGAGUAACCUGCCCUUGACUUCGGGAUAACUUCAGGAAACUGGGGCUAAUACCGGAUAGGAAUCCUUGCUGCAUGGUGGGGGUUGGAAAGCUUCGGCGGUUUUGGAUGGACUGGCGGCUUAUCAGCUUGUUGGUGGGGUAGUGGCUUACCAAGGCUUUGACGGGUAGCCGGCCUGAGAGGGCGACCGGCCACAUUGGGACUGAGAGACGGCCCAGACUCCUACGGGAGGCAGCAGUGGGGAAUAUUGCACAAUGGGCGGAAGCCUGAUGCAGCAACGCCGCGUGCGGGAUGACGGCCUUCGGGUUGUAAACCGCUUUCAGCAGGGGCGAAGCUUGUGGUGACGGUACCUGCAGAAGAAGCACCGGCUAACUACGUG